This 252-nucleotide ribosomal RNA is filed under the name Triticum aestivum (bread wheat). RNAcentral's name for it is "partial small subunit ribosomal RNA". The record is from RNAcentral. Lineage: Eukaryota; Viridiplantae; Streptophyta; Magnoliopsida; Poales; Poaceae.
AUGGACGACGUUCACUGGUACCUAUGUGUUAUAAAUGCCAGAAAACAAUGUGUUCAAGUGCUCGACUCGCUAGGCCCAUACAUGAACCGCAAGGACCUCAUUGAUACGCUAGAAGGACUGGAGGAUUUAUUCAAAUAUGCAUCCAAGCACAUGGAAUUAAAAUCCGACAAGUGGACUAAUUUAGAUGUUACAACAUGGAAAAGAGAAGAAUAUAUUAAGAGCGGUCUUCAAACGGAUGGGUACGCCUCCUAA